GUAAGUGACUUGCUAUUCUUCCCUUUUAAACUUUAACAUGCAUCUGACAAAUAUUCAGUGCCCAUUAUGCAUGUAAAUACAAUGAUGAACAAGAUAAGCAUUGUCCCUGUCUUCAUAGAACUCCAGUCUAAAAUCAUGGACUAAGCUGGAAAUAUACUGAGUAUCCACUAGGACUAGAACAUGCUAUCUGCAUGCUAAUGUGCUCAGUAGGUGAUCUUGAUCUUUAUUAAUUCCAUUAACACUAAUUGCAACAUUGUAUAAUGUUUGCAUUUCCCCUUCAGGUGACUGUUGUCUCUUGGGCACAGGUAGCUGCCAACAGGUGAGCCUCUCAGCGGAUCCCUGAUAGAGGUAGGAUGGCAAAUAGCUUCUUUAAUAUGACAGCCUCAGUGUAGUGGCUGGCAAGGAGCUGCGAUUGGGAGGAACUGGAAGUGACACCCAAGCUCAUUGAGCAAGCAUGCUGUGAGUGCCAUGAUAAAGUGAAGAGCUCAGGAGAAAGAUUGGAUCAAUUAUAGAAAAUAAUGAAGGUACAUUUUCUUUGCAUAACUAAAUGUAGGUACUGGAAUACCUGAGUUUUGGCUGGGCACAGAACUGUCUGGAAUACAGACUGCAAUUCCCAGCCUUCUGUGCAGUUCUGUGUGGCCAUGUGACUAAGUUGUGGUCAAUAUGAGUCACGGAAGAAUAGAAGAACAACUCAGAGGAGGAAGAAGUCAGACAUAGCCAGACACGGCUGCUAGCAGUUCCACCAAUGAAAGAGGAGACCAGGAUGUUUAAAACAGGCAAACACAAGGUGCGAAAAACCAGAAGCGAAAACUUCUGAGGUCAUUUAAGCAAGGACUAUCGUUAUCCCCGGAAGCAGAGAGAAGUUCCCUUUGCCCAACAUCACACUGCAAGCACGUGUUGGAGCUGAGAUUCAAACCCAGGCAUCCAGGGUCCAGGGCCCAUGCUUUUAAUAUAUUCCAUAUCUUAGGAGAAUUUCCCCUAUUUAAACAAUAAAAGUGCAAAAAUCUUGUGGCUAGCCAAAAUUUUCAGUUGUUUGGAAAACUUAUUUAUCCAAUAAGUGGAAAACUCACUUGUCCUCCAACAAUUCUGGAUAAAUGAAAGAACGAAUUGAACUGAGACUGGAAUCCGGGUCUCCCAGUACUUUGUAGUUCCUAUCCAUAUGGCUUGUCAGGAAGGCCACAGGGAGGUUAACUAACUCUGCGUAACCAGAAACAAUCCCACAUCAGACUGUUGGCAGUGGGAGUGGAACACUCAGAGCUGAACCGCAUGCAAGAUGGUUGCAUUUUCAUUUGCAAUGUCGUCAUCUUCCUCAUGGCUAAAGAGGUAUUUUGGAGUUGACAUGAAGGCUACUGUAAUUUUUAGAGGCAUUUUCUUUCUGGCCUGUAUUUACAUAUUGUGGUAGAAGAGUCAGAAGACUUCAAGCUUCAAAAGUGAAUCUUGUUGCGAGUUACAAAAGCACCACCCGGUGGGGUGCAGCUCUCAGCAUGUGUCACCACAGGCACUGUGAUUUCCCUGUCUUCAUCCAACUUUGGUUGCUGUUCUUCAUGCUCAGGAAUUCUGCAACUGCUGUAGCUUUUGCUGUUGUUAUGUCUGUAGGUAUGGACUCAUUUCUACCAUUCUGGAAUGAAACAUUAUUUCAAGGGAAGCUUCUCAUUGUAAAAGGUCCACACAUUCAGAAGGAAACUGGGAGUACAUUUUCUCAUAGGCCUGGAGCAUUAACUGACUAUGCAUCUUUCCCCUCAGUGUUGUCAUCAUGUUGUAAGGGGAUGAGUCAUGGACAACAUUUUCACACACAUACGUGAGGUCCAUUGACCAGUCUUUAGGACAACUAGAAAUCUUUUCUUUCUUUGUUUUAAAAAGGAAGACAAGUCAAGAUACAGCAAAUAAAAAUGCUCAGCACAUUUGCUGAAAUCUUAGCAAAAUCAAAUUACUAGUAAUUUGUUAAUCACACUAUACCUGUUUUGAGCCAAUCCUACUUAACCCACCCUCCAUCUUCCUCAUGCUUGCCUCCCUGGUGAACUCCUAUUUAUGUUACAAAGCUCAGUGUUUAUGUUACUACUUUUGUGCUAUUUCUGAACGUUAAAUGUACCUCUAUUAUAGAACAUAUCUCAUGGAAUAGUUAUUAUUGCAUAUCCACUGCCCUUGUUAGGCUGUGAGUGAGCUUUCUUUCUUUCUUUUUCUUUCCUUCCCUCCUUCCUUCCCUACUUCCUCCCUCCCUCCCUCUCUCCCUCCCUCCCUCUCUCCCUCCCUCCCUUCCUUCCUUUGCUCCUUCUCUCUUUCUCUCUUUUUCAUUUCUUUUCUUUUUUUUUAAAUUUGAGACAGGGUGUCACAAAUAUGAAUGGGACCUGUGAAUAUGAUGGCUGUCACUCUCUGAUUAGAUUACAUUAUAUGGCUAAGGUGAAGGAAUUCUGCAGAUGUAAUUAAGGUCCCAGAUGAGUUGAUAUUGAGUUACUCACAAAGGAGAUUAUACUGGAUGGCCCUACCUUAAUCAGGGAAAAGCCCUUAAAAGAGGACUGGGCCUUUCCUGAAGGAGGACAGUCCACUGCUGGCUUUGAAGCAGUAAGCAGCUGUGUUUUAAGGGGGCCUAUGGAGGGGCCCAUGUGGCAAGGUCCUGAGGGUGGCCUCUAGGAGUUGGCAGCAGUUCCCAGCCACUGGCUAGCAAGAAAACAGGUGGUUCAGCCACAUAGCCACAAGGAAAUGAAUUCUACCAACAAUCCAAAUGAGCUUGGAAGUGGAUAUUUUCCAUGGUCAAGCCUCCAGACGAACACCUUAACUGUAACAUAUGAACAGCUGAGCAGAGGACCUGCUUCAGCCAUGCCUGGACUCCUGACUUGUGGAAACUGAGAUAACAAAUGUAUAUUAUUUUAAGCUGGUAAGGUUGUGGUAAUUUGUUAUGCAACAAUGCCGAAUACAGUAGGCAUCUUAAAUGUUUGUUGAACUUAAUUUAAUCAGGGAAAUAUAAUAUUUAAAAGGAAUCUUUUCUAAAGUUUUAGCCAAUUUAAUGAAUGUAGAUAUCUUAAAGAAUUGCCAUCUUCCUUUGGAUCUUCUAGCCAUGCAAUCGACUUCACAAACUUCCAAGUUUUCAUAAAUACCAGCUUCUGAUUGUCUGGAAACAGGAAGUGAGAUUCUCUCCAGCCAUCAUUUGGCAUUCUUGGGAGAUAGAAUGGAUAAAAAUUGAUGUUGAAAUGAGACCACCAUCAUUUUUCAGUCUGCUCACCACGUACAGAGCUCAGGAUGAUUAGAAAAUGUAAAACACAUGUGAGUGGCUCAAACCCCUUUAGUUAAAUCACAUUUACAUAGAUCAGUUUUCCCAAGGGAUAUAAGUUAGCUGAACUUAAGCAAUUAAAAAAAAUAAAACUAAACUAAAACCUUUUGCUAAAGCCAAAAAACAUGGAUGAGUUAAACUGUAUCAGAUGGAAUGGUUUGUUUUGAAAAGUGUUUGGUUUGUUGUCUAUAUACGUGCGUGCUUUUUUAAAAGGCAGAUAGAAAAGCAGAACUUACAAGACCUUUAGCUGCUGAGGUGGAAAGCCAGUAUUACUUCUACCACAGCAGUUGAUAUCAUCGGUCUCACCAGCAGGUCACGGAUUUGUUGCUUGCUCCCUGUGACAAUCUUGAACCAUUGUAGGGACCUUGGCAUAUAGAGGGACGGUGAACAGGGCUGAAAACAAAAUUGAACUCAAUCUUGAGCUUGGUAUUCCACCGAGAGCAGGUUUUCUGGGCUUUGAAAUACCGCCUCAGAGAGACCUUCCUUGAUAUUCUGCCAUGUUGAGAACAAGAACAAACUUUUUGGCCCUGGAACCUCUUCCCUCCCAGUGCCAACAUGUUCAAUUUCAUUUGCCCUUGGCUAAAUGUAGCUUCCUGUUUCUAAGAAAAGAAGCAGAAAGGGGCUUUUGAAGGCCUCACAGACAGUCUCAGAAGGCUUCAUGGGCAGCAGACAACUCUUAGCAAACAACAAUUUGAUGAGUUAAGUGUAAACGGCUCAGAGACAUAUGGAUUACAUUUUUUGGGAAAUACACAUGGGCUUACAAUGUAAAACUGGGUAGUGUGGGGUGGGGUGGAGAAGGGAAUGCUUGGAAAAGUGUGGUUUGGGUCUUGCUAAUUGCAAAAUAUUUGAAACAAAUAAUUUGAGAUGUUUUGCUCAACGUACAGCGCGGUUGGAUUUGCCCUUUCCAUCUAUUUACGUGUCAUUUUCAGAUUCGGCUCACAUACCAAUACUGGUUUGGGUCUUGAGUUGAUUUUUAAAAAUGCAGUUAUUUUGAAAGGUCAUGCCAUGUGAUUUCUGUGUAGCCUCUGAGCAUAAAGGGUGGGGUGGUAUAGGGGAAGAACUGGGCAUUUAGAAACCUCUCUGCCUGUAGGUCAAACUGCUGCUCAGCUCUUCUGGUAUAUUCUACUUAUGGAGGUUCCAAAUCCAGGCUGUGUUAGUAAGAUGCAGCAGCCUCAGUCUCCCCACCUGUAAAAUGGGGACAGUAAUACUUAUCCCAGAACCCAUGGCGAUUGGGAUGCUGUGUGGUGUGGAGUUAAAGUGUGGACCCUGGAGGCAUAUACCUGUGCAUAUCCCAGCUCUGCUGCUGAUGUGAGCUUGGGCAAGUUCUUCAGCUUCCCUGGGCUUUUGUUUCUUCAUCUGUGUAAUGAGGAAUAUCUUAGCAUCCACCACAUAGGGUUACCUUGAGAAUUAAAAGAUUUAACCCAGUCCCCGGCACACAAUAAGUGUUCAGCAAAUGCUAACAGUGGCUCUUGUUGUUUAUAAUUUAUCUUGUUCUAUUAAGUAUAUGAAUACAGUAGAUAAUAAGGCAAAUUCACCUCCAGGCUGGGGAGAGGAAUAGCCCCUUACCAAACAGUGAGGGUCUCCUUCAGCUUACCUUCUUUUUCUUAUUGUUUCAACCUAUGGAUUAAUUACCUAGUUUUGUGACCCCAAAAUAAAAGGGUAGAUUCCUUGAUCUAAAAUUAGACUCAUCUUUUCCCUAUCCUAGGAAGGAUCCGUUUCUCUCUUCUAUUUUACCACUGUCUAGCACCUGGAGACACUUGGUUUAAGAGCCCAGCUAGUUUAUACUAGAGUGUGAGGGAAUUCUGAGGGCUCAGGUGGAAGGAAAGCAUGAUUCCAGAGUGUUGUUGGGUUAAUGCAUUGCUUCUCAACCCUUCCUGCACAUUAGAAUGAAUUGAGAAGCAUUUCAAAAAUAAUAGAAAUGUUAGUGUGGGGCUUCGGUAUUAGUACAUUUUUUAACUCCCCAGCUGCUUCUAUUGCGCAGCCAGGACUGAGAACCACCCUGGCUAAGGCAUUCAGUGGCAUUGUAGGUGCUUCCCUGGGUCGUUUCUGACUCGCCCCUUUUAACUCACUGGCCCCUCGGACUCUGAUUUCUGCCCUUCAUGCAGUGGGAGAGCUUUCCUCUGGGGCUUGCCUUGAGGUCUGCAGGAGCAAGGCCACUUCCUCUCUGAAUCCUAGACACAGGCUUUGGGUCAGUACUCCCACCCACGUGGAGCCCCCUUCUGCCCCUCUGCUCUGGGGGAUCUUGUCUGAAUCCAUCCCUUCUUUGCCUGCCUUAUGCCUUCUAGCUACUAUUCCUCUGCCCUUCCUUUCUUGAUCAGCACAAUUCUGCUGCUUUAAGUCCUUUUUUCCAUUAACCAUUGACUGCCCUUUGCUCUGUCAAACAUAGUUUUGGAGGCUGUGUAGUGUAGUGAAAGAACAGGGAAUUUGAGGUUGGACCUGGGUUUAACUCUCUCCUUGAUUGCUGACAAGUUACUUAACCUCUACUCAUUUGUAAACUAGGAAUAAUCUGACCUGGAUGAGACUGCUGUGAAGAUGAAAAGAGGUAAAGGAGGGGUGAUGGUGUGGUAGUGGUGGCCUGGUGAGAAUGACGGUGGUGGAGUGAUGGUGAUAAUGAGAAUGAUGAUAAUGGUAAUGGCGGUGUUGCGGUGAGGGUGUUGAUGUGGUGGUAGUGCUGAUUUUCGUGGCAGGUGAUGGCUAUAGUGAUAGGGGUGGUGGUGAUGAUGGUGGUGGUAGUUGUAAUGGUGACUGUGAUGGUGGUGUUGAUGAUACUGGUGAUAGCAGUAAUGGUAGUGAUGAUGGUAAUGAUGGUGUUAAUGAUGGUGGUUUGAUGGUGGUGAACAUGACAGUGGAGGUGGUUGUAGUAAUGAUGAUAAUGAUUUGGUGGUGGUGGUAGUUGUGGUGGUGGUGGUGAUGGUGGCAGUGGUUUAGUGGUAAAAGUUCAGUCAAGAAAGAAGAAAGCUGGAGGAACCAACAGUAUUCUGAUCAGAGGAACCACAUGGGAAGCAUUGACAGAGGGUCUUUGCAUUUGCUAAGGCCAUGGGAGUAGCUGGUUGUAUCAGUUAGCAUUUGAUCAGGAAAUCAGAGCUACUCUGUAUGACACGGAAUAAGGGAUUAAUCAUAGGGAUUAAACUUACCCAUUAUGAAAACUAGUAAAAAAGUCUAGGCAAGGCUGUUGCCUCUGUAUCUGGUGUUGGGCUUGACGUUUCUUUGGGUCAGCAGGGCUUACAGAUGGGACAGAAAGUGGAUGGAAAGGGGAGAGCAAGAACAAACUGGACCAUGUCUCUGACUCUCACCACCUGCAGUGGUAACACAGUGACCUGCAGGAAAAGCCAAUGCCUCUCAUCUCAGGCCUGGACAUGCACCUGGGUCAGGACUCUGGGCUGGAGGAGACCCAGGGAGCCGGAGGUACUGGAGCCCUGCUCCAUCAAGGUGAGGCAGCAGGUCUGAGAUAUAUGUGAGCUGCUGCUGCGCCGGGUCCCUAAUUAAACCUCCUGAGUGGAAUGGCUACUGCUUCCCUUCUGCCUUCCAAUCUUCUCACAGAUUUCUCUUGUUGCCAGCUUUAAUCUGGAACCAUAGAGGAAGGAACUUUGGGAAAUGUGGUUCCUGCUUAGUUCUGGUGGCACAGCACAAGUCACUGCCGAGGGGUCCCCAUGUGGAUUGGAUGGGUUAAAAGCUUCAGCACCUGUAGUGGCCUGUGCAGUCUACUUGCUCUGACAUUUCAAGCCUGGAGAGGCAAGGGGGACAAGAGCUGAGCUGAGGGCCAUGCCAGGGAACUGGACAAGGAAGGCCUUGGCACUCUCAAGUCAGGGAAUAGCCUCGCCAUUUCAUCUCAUCCCCAGAUGCUGGAGUGCGUUGGUCUCCCUUCUAACCUCUAACCACUGAAAGGGACCCUCUGUACAACCAAUCCUUGACUUUGGAAUCAUGGGCUGAGUAAGGCUGAAACAUUUAGCCGUCUUUGGGACCCCAGUAUUUCCCUAGUCUCACUCUAGUGUCUCUUGAAGUGGCUGUCUUUCAAGGUGUUGACCCUACUCCCUGUUUCUAACAUCUGCCUGCUACAUAAUCCAGCUGGACUUCUCAGGUAUCCCUGGUGGCUGAACUCCUUAGACCAGGGAGCUCCCCUAGUGCCUCUAGUGCUGACAAAGUGCCACUUUGCAACAGUUUCUGCCCUUUUCCCGGUUCUCUGGCUUCUAAAGCCUUCAUUUAUCCACAGAUAGAAAUACAAUCAAUCCCAUCCUUACUCUUUCUUUUGACAAUUUUCUUCAUCAGAUAUACACUUAGAAUUUAACUCAACUGUGUUCUCUCCUAUUUUGUCGGUCACUGCUGUAACUUACAUGGAAUCAUGGUUGGGUGGCAGGGACUGAAGUAGUUAGUUCUCACUUAUUUACUGUGAAAUGAAUAGUUUGAGAUUCGGUCAGUAGUCAGAAUGGUAUUCUUCACUUCCUCCUUUUCUUUAUUUACUAUGCUACCUGGUUUGUGAACAUUUUCUCCAGCUGCAAGCAAUUUACACAAACUGUAAACUCUUUAUCCAUUAUAAUCCCUGUAACUAUGCCUAGAGACUGGAAAAUGACCAGUUGUCAUUACAUUCGGAAAAGCAUAGAAAGGAUCUCCUUACUUGUGGCCCUACACCUGGUACUUUUCAGAUAGUAGAUGAGUUAUUAGGAUGAUUUGCACCUCAGUUUUCUUAUCUGUAAAAUGGGAGGGUUGCCUUGCAUUUCAUGCUGUGUUCUUUGAUGCCCUGGGGGAUUGCCGGAUUGCCAGAGGACUCAUUGGGAAUUUGGGGAUGGGGAAGAGCAUGUGUCUAGAGGGCCUUCAUCCCUCAUUCAACUAGCAAAAAGCCACUUAUUCUGUGUUAUAUAUUUGGUUUCUAUGAGAGAUUGGAUUAUUGGUCAGCAAUAAAAAUCACUCCCUUCCUUCUUCCUCUUGGAGCAGACCGUAACUCCCCUGUUCUACUGACUUUGGGCUUGGCUAUAUGACUAACUUUGGCCAAUGAAAUGUGGGAGGAUGUGAUGUGAAUAGAGGCUUUAAAUGUACUUGCAUGGUUUGGCUUACCUCUUGUACUCUUCUGUUUGCUGUGAGAAUAUGCUGCAGGGAGCCACUGGUCCAAGGAGAAGAAGAGGGGUGUAGAACAGACCUAAACCCAACCUGUAGCCUGAAACAGAGCCGAGUCCAGCCUAGAUCCACUUAUAGUCAACCUGUUGAUCUGUUAGCACAAAAACACAUGCUGCCAUAAGCUGUUGUGUUUUGUUACACAGCUAUAGCUGUCUAAUUCAGCUUACAAAUAAGUUUUGUCCAUAAUCAUAUUUUUUGGUUUAAAAAAGUUUGAAAACCACUGGGUUUGCUGAGUUUUCAGCUUUCCCAUCCACUUCUACUGUCCUGUUUCUUUCUCUUUGUGUAUUUAGGAAAGAGAGGGAGAAAGAAAGGGUUUUGGAAACAACACAGUCUGGUAGAAAGAAAGAAAGGAUAAUUUUUUUCUUUUGAGGAAAGAGGGACUUAGGGAGCUGGGAGGAGAGAUAGGCACAUUCAUAGUUAAAGUAUGUUUUGUUUCUUUUUUGAACCCUCAAGUAAACAUUUCUCCACUGACAUUGUUUUGCACUGUUACAUUAUUUUGUUCACUUUAGUGUUCCAUUUGUACAACCUCUGAAAUUCCAGGAAGAAGGUGAAAGAAUAACAUUGCACAUAGCCCUGGGUUGUGCUGUGUUUACUUCAUGAUGGACCGUUCACUUGGGCUUAACCUUAAACUGACCUUUCUGAUUCCAGACGAGACAGCAAAGCUUUGCUCACAGAUUCAAAAUCAGGGAACAGAAACAGCUGACUUCCCUGGCCAAGGAUGUUUUCCAUUCUCAUUAUUUUUGUCCGUGGUCACAAAUGAGAUGCUAGGGAAGUAAUUUUUAGGAAUUCCUGGAGUACUUUACUUCUGAUGUGCAUGCACAGAUACCCUGGGGUCUUAUGCAAUUGGUACCCCACCCCAAAGUCUGGAUAUAUUCGUUGUAGGAUGAAGAGAGGGAGGAAGGAAGGAGGACUGAGGAAGGUCUUAGGCUAUUUUCAAGCUCUUUUUUGCUCCGCACUUUGCAACAUGGUUUUAUUUUAUUCUUAUAAGUUUUGAGAUCAUCUCAAAUAUAAAUACAAAACCAUUGAUCAAAGGCCAAGAAUAAGAAAUAUUUAGAUGCCCUCUAUUGCAGUGAAAAAGCAAAUGGUUGCUAUAUCAUGCGUAAAGGUAAUCUCUUCAAGGAUUAGCACUUUAGGUCAGAUCAUGGAAGCCUGGUUUUGUUUCUCAGAAAGAGUGUCUUUCUGGGGCUUGGGAGGCCAACACGAGGCAGGCUGAGCUUUGUCUAUGGCAGGAGCUGAGUUUGAGUCUAUCUCUGCCAUUAGCCUGUGCUCAGGUUGUGUCCCUACACUGAUGGCCAUCAGAAUUUGGGUAUCAAGUGAUUCGCUUGCUUGUACUAGAUUGAGCUCCUUUGAGGACAACAGGAGCCAUUAAUAUUUUAGAGCCAGA
RNAcentral lists this long non-coding RNA (9758 nucleotides) under Homo sapiens (human). Its description in RNAcentral is "HSALNT0086727". The record is from RNAcentral. Lineage: Eukaryota; Metazoa; Chordata; Mammalia; Primates; Hominidae.